UUCAACGGGCCGCGGUUACCCUAACCGGUGCGAAGGUAGCAUAAUCACUUGUUCUUUAAAUGGGGACUCGUAUCAAUGGCAUCACGAGGGUUAAACUGUCUCCUUUCUCCAAUCAAUUAAACUGAUCUUCCCGUGAAGAAGCGGGAAUAAAUAUAUAAGACGAGAAGACCCCAUGGAGCUUUAAACCCAGUUACACCUCUACUUCCUAUUUCAUUAUAACCUUUAGAAUCCUGUUUAUCUGGUUUUAGGUUGGGGUGACCGCGGAGCAUAAACUAGCCUCCACGAUGAACGGGACUAUUUCCCUCAUCUAAGAAUUACACUUCUAAGAAUUAGUAUUCUAACAUAAAAUGAUCCGAUACUCGAUCAACGAACCAAGUUACCCUGGGGAUAACAGCGCAAUCCACUUCAAGAGCCCCUAUCGACAAGUGGGUUUACGACCUCGAUGUUGGAUCAGGGUAUCCCAGUGGUGCAGCAGCUACUAAAGGUUCGUUUGUUCAACGAUUAAAACCCU
This 511-nucleotide ribosomal RNA is filed under the name Blommersia sp. 11 MV-2009. RNAcentral's name for it is "partial 16S ribosomal RNA". It matches the Rfam family "Bacterial large subunit ribosomal RNA", at positions 1922 to 2597 of the family's 2925-position model. The record is from RNAcentral. Lineage: Eukaryota; Metazoa; Chordata; Amphibia; Anura; Mantellidae.